This 429-nucleotide ribosomal RNA is filed under the name Acidobacteriota bacterium. Its description in RNAcentral is "Acidobacteria bacterium partial 16S ribosomal RNA". It matches the Rfam family "Bacterial small subunit ribosomal RNA", at positions 355 to 776 of the family's 1533-position model. Lineage: Bacteria; Pseudomonadati; Acidobacteriota. The record is from RNAcentral.
UGGGGAAUUUUGGACAAUGGGGGAAACCCUGAUCCAGCCAUCCCGCGUGUGCGAUGAAGGCCUUCGGGUUGUAAAGCACUUUUGGCAGGAAAGAAACGUCAUGGGUUAAUACCCCGUGAAACUGACGGUACCUGCAGAAUAAGCACCGGCUAACUACGUGCCAGCAGCCGCGGUAAUACGUAGGGUGCAAGCGUUAAUCGUAAUUACUGGGCGUAAAGCGUGCGCAGGCGGUUCGGAAAGAAAGAUGUGAAAUCCCAGAGCCCAACUUUGGAACUGCAUUUUUAACUACCGGGCUAGAGUGUGUCAGAGGGAGGUGGAAUUCCGCGUGUAGCAGUGAAAUGCGUAGAUAUGCGGAGGAACACCGAUGGCGAAGGCAGCCUCCUGGGAUAACACUGACGCUCAUGCACGAAAGCGUGGGGAGCAAACAGG